UGGAGAUGGCGACCGGCGGCACGGGUGAGUAACACGUAUCCAACCUGCCGAUAACUCGGGGAUAGCCUUUCGAAAGAAAGAUUAAUACCCGAUGGCAUAGUUCUUCCGCAUGGUGGAACUAUUAAAGAAUUUCGGUCAUCGAUGGGGAUGCGUUCCAUUAGGUUGUUGGCGGGGUAACGGCCCACCAAGCCUUCGAUGGAUAGGGGUUCUGAGAGGAAGGUCCCCCACAUUGGAACUGAGACACGGUCCAAACUCCUACGGAGGCAGCAUG
This 271-nucleotide ribosomal RNA is filed under the name uncultured bacterium. RNAcentral describes it as "partial 16S ribosomal RNA". It matches the Rfam family "Bacterial small subunit ribosomal RNA", at positions 83 to 353 of the family's 1533-position model. The record is from RNAcentral.